UGCGGCCGACGGCGUCGCGCGGCGUCGUUCGUCCCGUGAAAAUUUUCGGGAAAAUCUCGUCGCGACUUUCGUCCUCGUUAAAGAAAUUCUGAAACGUGAAAAAUGGAUUUUCACCGUCGUGGUGCGUGUGUUACGUGAUGAUGACUAACCAAGAUUCCUCUUUCGAUCCGGCUAUAUAAAAUUAUUUUUUAUGUUUUGACGUCCAAACAUUAAACAAAAAAAAAAUAAAUAAAUUUACAGUUUAGCACUAAUAUAAACAUUAUAUAAACAUGUCAUACAUAAUUAUAUAAAACGUUUAUGUAACCUCGCAAACAAAAAGUGACAAACCGAACAAUGUGCAUCGUCAUCAUCGGUGUUUCAGUGAACAGCAUCUGUGCCCCAUAGAUCAGCAGCAUUUUUUAUUUGAGGAUUAUAUUCCAGAUAUGAGUCGGACAAAUAAGGGAGACGGUUUAGCGAAAUCCGAACCCACGUCAAAGGAUAUGACAGCAGUUAAUGCGUCGAUUCAUGAAUUUUCACCGGUACGUUUGCCCCUUCAACCAUACUCCGGUAGUCCGGCGGUUUUUAUGUAUUCAACCGCGUCCAACGACGGUAGUGUCACCCUGCAGCUUAAAGAACAUGAAGCUUUUGACAGAAACGGUUUGGCGGUAAUGUUGGCAAAAAUCCAAGAGAACUCCUCUUUUCCCAUCUACUCUCAAGAAACUGAUCUGCUGUUAGACGAAGGAAUCAACGUUCUUUUAGGCUCCGGUAGUUCCGGAGAAAACUCCGGUACAGACACUGUAACCGCUUCUUUCGACUUCUUCGACUCGUCCAGUGCCCACGAUCUCACCCUAUCACCCCAAACUCUUUCCAAUACUACUGAGGCCUUAAUUAAUGACAAUUCUAACAGUUUAGGACUACCCGCCGAUAACGAUACCGUAUCGACAACAACAAAAGACGACGAGAAACCGUCGGGCAGCUACACGCCGGAACCGAAAGGAAAACGGGCCAAAACCAAACCGACUUCCCCUAAUAGACAAGGACCUCAGCAAUGUACGGUGUGCUCCAAGGUAUUCGGAAACGCAUCAGCUCUGGCCAAACAUAAGCUGACCCAUAGCGACGAGCGCAAGUACAUCUGCACCGUCUGCAACAAAGCGUUCAAACGUCAAGAUCACUUGAACGGCCACAUGUUGACGCACCGCAAUAAGAAACCGUACGAGUGUAAAGCGGACGGAUGCGGCAAGAGUUACUGUGACGCGAGAUCAUUGAGGAGACACAACGAGAACCACCACGUGACGUCACACUCUUCCGGUGGUAGUACGACGACCAUGUCGCCAGCACAGGGUGCGGCGAGUGGAGAUGCCGCAUCGCCGCACGGGAGCAGUUGCAUCCAGUACGCUCCACCCCCGUCUGGAUCUCCGAAGGAGGUUAAGGAGGGAAAGACGCAGUUGCAACAGUUGUUGUCUACGGAGUCGAAGAGCAUGGGAAGUAACAACGACGGUUUAACUAAGCAACAGUUGGACCUGAUCCAUCAGAUUAUGGAACAGACCCAGAGGCAGAGCCAGAACGUUCCCUCGCCCUCAUCCAGUAAACCGUCACCUAAGAAGUCCAAAUCCAGGAGUAAGGAUAAAACUGUGGCGGCGGCCAGUUCUACAUCUUGGUCACCAAAUUCGCAACAACAAUCAUGCACCCCAGUAAAGACAAUCUCCACGGGGGCACCGAGCCCCCAGGGCAAAGUGACCACCACGACCCCAUCGACCCCAUCCCCCACCGACCAGGAUAAGACCCCCAUUCUAAAACCGGUGGAAUGUAACCUUUGCAAAAGGCGUUUUAAGAACAUCCCAGCCCUGAAUGGACACAUGAGACUCCACGGGGGAUAUUUUAAAAAGGAUCCAGAUCCGAAAAAGACCGAUAAAAAAGAGCACACCGGCCCCCCACUCCAAACCGCAAGCAGCAGCGUCCGCGCCCUCAUCGAGGAAAAGAUCAUCAGCAAAAGAAACUCCUCACCGAGCACCAGCAGCUCCACCGAAACAGUGACGCACACCUCCUCAUCAACGCAAGUAGACAUGGACCCGAAACUCCCGUCGUUCGUGGUCCCCGCCCCUCCUCAACACUCUACAGUAGUCGACAAAACUCGUAGACAUUCCGACGCGGAGGCCCUGAAGACCUCCCACUCCUCACACAACUACCAAGACGCCCAAGCGAUCGCCGACUUGAUAGUCAAGAGGGAAAAAUUAUCGGUGAAACGCACCACCUCUGAUCCUGGCCAGAAUAAUACGUCUGCACAGCAGCUCCUACAGUACCGUUCCGAGUCGUUUUCCUUGGACGGAGUCGAGAUGUACCAGGAGGAACCCCAGUUCGUCACCCCCAGUCUGGAGGACGAGGUGUUCAGCAACAAUAGUAUGAUGCUCCAAGGGGUCGACCCCAAUCAGCUCCAGUUCCAAGCAGAUUCUCUGGACGACAAUUUGCUUUCAAUCAGAGAUGAGAACUUGCUAGGAAUCAAGCCCCAAGGGGAUGAGGACCUGCAGGAGCUGAGCCUGGAUGACAUAGCCAGUUUGCACGAGGAACCUAUGACCAUUUACCCUGGAGAGCAUACGCCUGAUCAGCAACCUAUACAGAUCAGCGCGAACCAAGUGAACCAGAGCUUGCAAGCUGUGCUGAACUCACCAUUACCAGAGAGCUUGGCGGAGUUCAGCACCUACCACAUCCAGUCUCCUAGCUACCAAACUCAAUCCCCUAGCAACUACGCUCGAUCUCCACACAUAUUCACCGCACAAUCACCUUUGCAAAGUCCCAUGAUCAGGCAUGACUCUCCGGGUUUCACUUAUCCAACCCCGCCGGCAAGCCACGAGGGGCAAAGCCCGUGCUUCGGACAAAACAUCCCUCUGGUAUCCCCCAGCGAGGAGUUCGGCCACGUUAUGGAGCGAGGCAUCGACGAGCCUCCGCAAGCCUCCUCACCACUCUCCGCAGCUUUUUUCACCAGCACCAUGUCCAGCUCGGCGGAAGUCGAGGAGGCGAUCCAGGAAGUACUGCCCGGCGAAAGCCUCAAUGAAGACAACCUCUACCCUCUUUCAAACACACCCCCCUCGCAAUCUGAGAACGACUCUUUAGGUCUCACUCCGGUACCAUCCCCGCAAGUUUCUACCUCAAUCCCCUCGCCGCAUCCCUCCUCGAGUCAAUCAAUCCUCAAACCGUCUUCGGGUCAAUCUGGAUGGGGCACACCUCUAAUGCUUUCCAACUCUGAGGAUCCGUUACUGUCCAGUCAGCCCAAGGAUUGCGCUCCCAAGAAACGGAUUCAAUUGAACGGGGUGCCGGUGAGAUUGGUGAGUAAUCACGGACUGAUCGAGUUGAACAGCACCAACUUCACCGGGUUACUGGUGGAUGCCAAUGGGGAGUUGAAGCUGAUCCAGGCGAGCGGAGGCAGUUUUCCGGUGAAGAAUUUCGUGCUGUCCAAUGCUCAGCUGGUCACCACCAGCGGACAGGACCUGGGGAUGAAGGACAGCAGGGUGAAGGUGCAGAAGCUGACUAUUACCAAAGCUGUGCCCGCGAGUCCGGUGGCUACGAAGCUGAUCGCUAACAGGGCGAAGCUGGAGGUGAAACGGGAGGAUUGUAACGAUGUGUUUCUCAGUCCCACCACGAUUCCGACCAAUAGUCCAUCAAGGCAAUCGAGGAAGAGGUUGAGGAAUGAGCCGUUACCGUCGUCCCACCAUCAGUCGAAGCUGAGGACUACUAGGAUAAAGGGGCAGGGGACCGUAAGGUACACCGCCCAACCGAUUUUGAAUCCACAAAGGGGCGGCAGUGGACUUUAUUCCAGUAUAAAGUUUAAGUUGGGUGACGACCCCAACUGGAACGAUCCGCCUCCGGAAACAGACGCCACUCCUCACAUCAACAUCGGCCCUCAGAGCCAAUGCACCAUUCCCGCCUAUAGGGGAGUGCCAAAACGUACUACGCCACAACCCGUCUACGAAGAUCUCCUAUGGGAUCCUGGCAUUGGAGACUGUACGGAUUCCGAAGUGGAUAUGUAUCUGGAGUUCGCCUGUUGUGCCGCCAUCCCAGGCGGCGGUAGAAACAAAGAAUAUGCCAUGCAUCUCCUUCACAUGUGUUCCGGGAACAUUCAUGAGGCGAUGCUUCGUUUGAUGCAACCCACCCCACAUUUGCCCGCCGAUCAUCCCCUGUUGGCUUAUUCGUACUGUGAGAGCGAGAAGUGGACUUCGCUGGAGACGGAUUUGUUCCAUAGAUGUUUGUUGAAGUUCGACAAGGAUUUUAAUAGGAUAGCAGAAGAGAUAAAAUCGAAAUCGCUGAAGCAGUGUGUCCAGUUUUACUACGUGUGGAAGAAAGUGUGUGCGGACGAGUACAGCAGACUGAAGGCGCUCAGACAGAUGAAGAGGAAUCACAGGAAUCUGUCCGAUGCGGACGAUAAGGGUUUCCCGGAUGUUAAACUGUUGGGGAUGGCCGAGGGUGAUUCGCCCAUGAGACAUUUUUCGUGCGAAUAUCCCGAGUGUUCAGCCAGCUUCAAUUCGAGGGCGGCAUUGAACGGCCACAUCCGGAUCCACGGCGGCACGUCGCGCAACUCGCCGACGCCCUCGUCGACUGCGGGCGGCAACGGGGGCGGCAACCCGCCGUCCGAUCGCCGCCCAUCUGCCGCCGCAGCCGCCGCCGCGGCGCACGCGCACUCGUUCACCGUCUCGUCGACGAUCUGCCAUCCGGAUUCGACCGAUCAAGAGUAUCCGUGCAAGAUAUGCGGGAAGUAAGUUUACCGUACCGUAUCCGUCAUAAUCCGCCUAUCUAAAUCAAUCAAUUACAGAGUGUUUUCAAAAAUCAAGAGUCGCAGCGCGCACAUGAAAUCGCAUCGACCGCCGGACGCGGAGCCGUCGCGACGCCGCACCAACGACCACAAAGAACCCAAAGAAGUGGCCAAAGUGAAGGAGGAACUCCCUU
This 4914-nucleotide unclassified non-coding RNA is filed under the name Anthonomus grandis grandis. RNAcentral describes it as "uncharacterized LOC126743390". Lineage: Eukaryota; Metazoa; Arthropoda; Insecta; Coleoptera; Curculionidae. The record is from RNAcentral.